UGAAAGCCUUUCUCUGAGACACACACACCUAGAGAGAGAAAAGACCGAUUCCUUUCGUUAAAGAGACACACCCCCACCCGAAAAACCCAUUGUUGUGAAACACACACACACAUCUUUCCUGAAGCAUUUUCUACGAGACAGACUGAGAGAGAGAGCCUGAUAUUCCAUUCGUUAAAGAUAAAGGUGAGGCUAUAUGGUUAACCCAGGCACCUGUCCGUUUCUAAUUCCGCAUCUUCCAGACAGGGUCUCUUCCUCGCAAGAUAUCCCACACACUCCACGUUCUGCCCACCCCUCCACCUCUUGUCAUCGAUGGUUAUCCAGUGUACACGGUGAGAUGCCUCCUGAGUGUUCGACCGCGGGGCAGGGGUUUCCAGUACCUGGUUGACUGGGAGUGUUAUGGCAUCCUGGACCCAGCCCUCAUCGCCGAAUUCCAUAGAUGGGGGGGUACUGUCACCCAUCUGGUGUCACCCAUUAUCCCCUGGAUAUAACAGCGGGGACUGCAGGUUUUGAGUCAACCUACGCCAGUGGCGUGUAUUAAAGGAUGCCAAGAGAAGCCAGGAUUCCCCAAAUAUUUGACCAAUAAAAACAUGUAAAUUAUCAAAUGAUUUAUCUUACAUUUCUCUGUGUUUUGAAUAAUUGUCCAUCAAUAUGCAGCCUAGUAGGUAGCUAACUUAGCUGGAUCAUUGUUUCCCUUGUGAGGAAGUUAAGCUAGCAAGCAUUUUAGCUAGGUAGUCUGUGAAAUCUAAAACUAAAAGCAUACUGUAUGACAGAGCCAUAGACUUUUGCCAACAUGAAAGGGAGGAGGAUGGCAUUGGUGUUUUAACUAGUCUACAAAAGGGUCAGUCAACUUUCUUUCUUUUUUUUUUUACAUGUGUGCACACACACACACACACACACACACACACACACACACACACACACACACACACACACACACACACACACACACACACAGACAGACAGAAACAGUACCAUGGACAGCCACAUGAUAUUUAGCAACAUUGAUUGGACUAAAUUGUUUUUGGUAUCUUUAAGUUUGUUUUUAGUGCAUUUAACGAUUGCCUUUUUAAUUUGUUGAUUUUUAAAUAUUUUCAUUAAAAUGGUGCUGGAAUAGCGGAGCCAGUGCUCCUUUUCUUUGUGCUCACUUGCAGGAACUCUGUGGUUCUAAAUCAGUAGUUGUUGAAAACGUUAACUUGCUUGACCGUGCUCUACGGCUUUGUGAUGAAACAUGUGUAGUUGAAUUUAUUCUGGCACUGUGUGACUGUGGUCUUUUUGUUGUCACAGCGUUUUUGUAUAGCACGGUUAUUCUGUGUAUUCUUAGGGAGUUGGUUUUCACACCACCCCUUGCUCCCUUUCAUGGUCUGUCUAUGUAACAUAUCUGAUAUAUUCAUAUUCUGGGUACUGUAGUCAUAUAGUCAACAGGUAAGCUUGACUUCCAUGUGCAAAGUGGAGAUGUUCAGGAUAUUCCAACUCCAACGAAUGAGGUGAAAAAAUUGCCAGUGUGUACAUAUUAACCAAAAUAUAAUUUUAAUUCUGAAAAUUUCCUUUUUCCUUCAAUUCUACAAAUGUAACAUGAUUAAAUAGAGUAAACACAAGUCUAUAGUAAGUCUUGACCUAAAGACAUUUGCUGUCUCGAACUUUCAAUGUACCAACAGACUCAGAAAUGAUUUAGUUAGAUUCCUCCAGAGACGCACAGGGCCUGUUGCAUAUAUUCACAUAAUAUUGGAGUCAGAUUGAUGAAUGUAGUUUAUUAUUAUAUUCAACAUAAUUUCUACAUAAUGGCUGGAUGAUUUCUACACCUAACAUUGGUGCAUUAGGAUUGUUCACAUUUUAGUCCUCUACUCCUCUUGCUCAUCAUUCCUAUUUCACAGAAACAUAUACCUUCUACAAACCAACAGGAGAUGUGGUGAUUUACAGAGGCCACCACGGAAUGAGAAUAGCCAAACAACACAGCCAAAAAGUCAAAAUAGUCUACCAUAAAAAAUGUAUAAGAAUAAAUAAUUGACUUUUUGGUCUUCAUAUAAGGUUAGGGUUAGGCUCAAGGUUAGGUUUAAAAUCUGAAGAAGAGAAAUUGUAGAAAUAGGAGGGGUUUAUGACUUUGUGGCUGUGUUAACUAGUGACGACAACUGAGAAGAGGUAGACAAGUGGAGACAGUAGCUCAUUGGUGACUAAUAGUUACUGCUACUUUACCUUUACAUUCUUUGAGUACUUGAAGUUGAUUUAUGAAGACAUUAGAUGUUUGUUUUCCCCCACACAGCAGUUCAAUGAGAAGCAGAGUGUCCCAGUAAGAACAUAAACUGUGGUAGUAAAGGGAUGAAAAAUAACUCCAUAGUAGAUUGGGAGAUUCAGGAACAAACGUUACAGACUAUAUUAAAAUGCAAUGAAACACGUGUAAUAUUAAAAUGUGUCAACUUGUAAUUGGUUGCAUUCUAUCGUCGUAUCAUACUGCACUAUGAUUGGUAAAUACCACCCAGGUCAUGAGGGCCUUUUUCAGUUGAUCAUGGCUGGGGACACAUGAACAUACAGCAUUUUUAAAUGUUGUACAAAGCGUGCAAAACAAGACAUGGUGUCAGAGUAAAAGGACUAAAAGAUUAAUUUUGCUGGAGUUCCUUCACCUCGAAUGGACUGGGGGUCAACAAACGUACCCAUAGCUUUUUCAAACAGAAAUGUGCAUCCUGUAGCUCUAACUCCAAAAAGUUCUGGGACACUAAAGGGUCCUCCCAGCUGCCCACUGCACUGAGGCUAGGAAACACUGUUACCACCGAUAAAUCAAUGAUAACAGAGAAUUUCAAUAAGCUUUUCUCUACAUCUGGCCAUGCUUUCCUCCUGGCUACCCCUACCCCAGGCCCACAGCUCGGCACCCCCCACAGCUACUUGCCCAAGCCUCCCCAGCUUCUCCUUCACCCAAAUCCAGAUAGAAGAAGUUCUGAAAUAGCUGCAAAACCUGGACCCAUACAAAUCAGCUGGGCUAGACAAUCUGGACCCUCUUUCUAAAAUUAUCUGCCACCAUUGUUGCAACCCCUAUUACCAGUCUGUUCAACCUCUCUUUCAUAUCGUCCGAGAUUCCUAAAGAUUGGAAAGCUGCUGCGGUCAUCCCCCUCUUCAAAGGGGGAGACACUCUAGACCCAAACUGUUACAAACCUAUAUUAAUUCUGCCCUGCCUUUCUAAAGUCUUUGAAAGCCAAGUUAACAAACAGAUCACUGACCAUUUCGAAUCCCACCGUACCUUCUCCACUGUGCAAUCCGGCUUCCGAGCUGGUCACGGGUGCACCUCAGCCAUGCUCAAGGUACUAAACGAUAUCAUAACUGCCAUCGAUAAAAGACAAUACUGUGCAGCCGUAUUCAUCGACCUGGCCAAGGCUUUCGACUCUGUCAAUCACCGUAUUCUUAUCGACAGAUUCAACAGCCUUGGUUUCUCAAAUGACUGCCUCACCUGGUUCACCAACUACUUCUCAGAUAGAGUUCAGUGUGUCAAAUUGGAGGGCCUGUUGUCCGGACCUCUUGCAGUCUCUAUGGGGGUACCACAGGGUUCAAUUCUCGGGCCGUCUCUUUUCUCUGUAUAUAUCAACGAUGUCGCUCUUGCUGCAGGUGAUUCCUUGAUCCACCUUUACGCAGACGACACCAUUCUGUAUACAUCUGGCCCUUCUUUGGACACUGUGUUAACAAACCUCCAAACGAGCUUCAAUGCCAUGCAACACUCCUUCCGUGGCCUCCAACUGCUCUUAAACGCUAGAAAAAACGAAAUGCAUGUUCUUCAACCGAUCGCUGCCCGAACCCGCCCGCCCGACUAGCAUCACUACUCUGGACAUUUAUGACUUAGAAUAUGUGGACAACUAACCAGACACCUAGGCAUUUGUAGACUGUAAACUCUCCUUCCAGACUCACAUUAAUCAUCUCCAAUCGAAAAUUAAAUCUAGAAUCGGCUUCCUAUUUCGCAACAAAGCCUCCUUCACUCACGCUGCCAAACAUACCCUCGUAAAACGGAUUAUUCUACCGAUCCUCGACUUCGGCAAUGUCAUUUACAAAAUAGCCUCCAACAGUCUACUCAGUAAACUGGAUGCAGUCUAUCACAGUGCCAUCCAUUUUGUCACCAAAGCCCCAUAUACCACCCACCACUGCGACCUGUAUGCUCUCGUUGGCUGGCCCUCGCUACAUAUUCGUUGCCAGACCCACUGGCUCCAGGUCAUCUACAGGUCUAUGCUAGGUAAAGCUCCGCCUUAUCUCAGCUCACUGGUCACCAUAAAAACACUCACCCAUAGCACGCGCUCCAGCAGGUAUAUCUCACUGGUCAUCCCCAAAGCCAACACCCACUUUGGCAGCCUUUCCUUCCAGUUCUCUGCUGCCAAUAACUGGAACAAAUUGGUUUAAAUAAUGCAAAAACAAAGUGUUGGAGAAGAAAGUAAAAGUGCAAUAUUUGCUAUGUAAAAAAGCUAACAUUUAAGUUCCUUGCUCAGAACAUAUGAAAGCUGGUGGUUCCUUUUAACAUGAGUCUCCAAUAUUCCCAGGUAAGGAGUUUAAGGUUGUAGCUAUUAUAGGACUAUUUCUCUCUAUACCAUUUGUAUUUCAUAUACCUUUGACUAUUGGAUGUUCUUAUAGGCACUAUAGUAUUGUCAGUAUAAUCUCGGGAGUUGAUCGGCUUAAAGUCAUAAACAGCGCAGUGCUUGAAGCACAGCGAAGAGCUGCUGGCAAAUGCAGGAAAGUGCUGUUUGAAUGAAUGCUUACGAGCCUGCUGCUGCCCACCACCACUCAGUCAGACUGCCCUAUCAAAUAUCAAAUCAGAUCAUUAAUUUUAAUAUAAUAACACAGAAAUAUGAGCCAUAGGUCAUUAAUAUGGUCAAAUCCGGAAACUAUCAUUUCGAAAACAAAACGUUUAUUGUUUCAGUGAAAUAUUGAACCAUUCCGUAUUUUAUCUAACUUGUGGCAUCCCUAAGUCUAAAUAUUGCUGUUACAUUUCACAAACUUCAAUGUUAUGUCAUAAUUACAUACAAUUCUGGCAAAUUAAUUACGGUCUUUGUUAGGAAGAAAUGGUCUUCAUACAGUUCACAAUGAGCCAGGCAGCCCAAACUGCUGCUUACACAAUUUCCAUAGUUUAAAGAAAAUCAUGUUAGCAGGCAAUAUUAACUAAAUAUGCAGGUUUAAAAAUAUAUACUUGUGUUUUAAUUUUAAGAAAGGCAUUGAUGUUUAUGGUUAGAUACACAUUGGUGCAAACGACAGUGUUUUUUUUUGCGAAUGCGCUUGUUAAAUCGUCACCCGUUUGGUGAAGUAGGCUGCGAUUCGAUGAUAAAUUAACAGGCACCACAUCAAUUAUAUGCAACUCAGGACAAGCUAGAUAAACUAAUAUCAUUAACCAUGUGUAGUUAACUAGUGAUUAUGUUUGAUUGUUUUUUAUAAGAUAAGUGUAAUGCUAGCUAGCAACUUACCUUGGCUCCUUGCUGCACUCGCGUAACAGGUAGUCAGCCUGACACGCAGUCUCCUCGUGGAGUGCAAUGUAAUCGGUGUCCAAAAAUGCUGAUUACCGAUUGUUAUGAAAAUUUGAAAUCGGCCCUAAUUAAUCAGCCAUUCCGAUUAAUCGGUCGACCACUAGUCCAGAUGGGAUAGGGCAGUGUGAUGGUGAUUGUGUCGUCUGUGGACCUGUUGGGGCGGUAUGCAAACUGAAGUGGGUCUAGGGUGGCCGGUAAGGUGGAGGUGAUCCUUGACUAGUCUCUCAAAGCACUUCCUGAUGACAGAAGUGAGUACUAAGGGGCGGUAGUCAUUUAGUUAUCUUUGCCGUCUUGGGUACAGGAACAAUGGUAGCCAUCUUGAAGCAUGUGGGGACAACAGACUGGGAUAGGGAGAGAUUGAAUAUGUCCGGAAACACACCAGCCAGCUGGUCAGCGCAUGCUCUGAGGACGUGGCUAUGGAUUCCGUCUGGGCCAGCAGCCUUGCGAGGAUUAAAAUGUUUAAAUGUUUUAAUCAUAUCGGCCUUGGAGAUGGAGAGGGGUGGGGGGGGCCGUCCUUGUUAGCGGGUCGCGAUGGUGGCACUGUAUUAUCUUCAAAGCGGACAAAGAAGGUGCUUAAGAGCUUUACACCCCUGGAUUGUUCAAUAAUAAUAUAUUAUUAUUUUCAUAAUUGUUCAAGCUCUGUGAAGAUGUUGGUGCUCAUGGGUACACAGCAAUUUUCAAAUCCUGCCAUAGAUUUUCAAGCAGAUUUAAGUCAAAACUGUAUCUUGGCCUUGUGUUGUAGAUUAUUGUCUUGCUGAAAUGUACAUUCCUCUCUCAGUAUCUGCUGUAAAGCAGACUGAAGCAGGUUUUUCUGCUUAGCUGCAUCCCAUUUCUUUUUAUCCAUAAAAACUACACCUGUAUUUGCCAAUGUCAAGCAUGCUCAUACCAUGAUGCAGCCACCACCAUGCUUGGAAAUAUGGAGGCAGUUACUUGGAUUUGCCCCAAACAUGAGGCUUUGCAUUUAGGACAAAACAUAUAUUUUUUUACAGUAUUACUUCAGUUGCAUACAAUAUGUUUAUUUGCAUUAAUUACUUUCACUGUCAUUUAAAUCAUUAUUGUGGAGUCACUACAAUGUUGUUUAUCCAUCCUCAGUUUUCUCCCAUCACAGCCAAUGAACUCUGUAACUUUUUUUCAAUCACCAAUAGCCUAAUGGUAACAUCCCUGAGCAGUUUUAUUCCUGUCCUGCAGCUCAACUCAGAAGGAGGACUGUAUCUUUGGAGAACUGUAUCUUUGAUGUGUCUGGGUGGUUUAAUACAUAAUCCACAGCAGAAUUAUUAAAUUAACAAUGCUUAAAAUA
Molecule: long non-coding RNA, 6777 nt
Organism: Oncorhynchus nerka (sockeye salmon)
Lineage: Eukaryota; Metazoa; Chordata; Actinopteri; Salmoniformes; Salmonidae
Exons: 5
Source: RefSeq, a predicted model, not a curated record